Molecule: unclassified non-coding RNA, 376 nt
Filed under: uncultured bacterium
Lineage: Bacteria
Description: contains 16S-23S intergenic spacer region
Source: RNAcentral
UCCGGUUUAUCACCGGCGGUCCCAGCAGAGUCCUCAGCUUUACCUGUUAGCAACAGCUGGCAAGGGUUGCGCUCGUUGCGGGACUUAACCCAACAUCUCACGGCACGAGCUGAUGACAGCCAUGCAGCACCUGUGCAGGGCCCCGAAGGACACGGGCUUUCACCCGCUUUACCCUGCAUGUCAAGCCCAGGUAAGGUUCUUCGCGUUGCAUCGAAUUAAGCCACAUGCUCCGCCGCUUGUGCGGGUCCCCGUCAAUUCCUUUGAGUUUUAGCCUUGCGGCCGUACUCCCCAGGCGGGGUGCUUAAUGCGUUAGCUGCGGCACCCAGGGGGUCAAUACCCCGGACACCUAGUGCCCAUCGUUUACAGCGUGGACUAC